This 429-nucleotide ribosomal RNA is filed under the name Chloroflexota bacterium. RNAcentral describes it as "Chloroflexi bacterium partial 16S ribosomal RNA". It matches the Rfam family "Bacterial small subunit ribosomal RNA", at positions 355 to 776 of the family's 1533-position model. The record is from RNAcentral. Lineage: Bacteria; Bacillati; Chloroflexota.
UAGGGAAUCUUCGGCAAUGGACGAAAGUCUGACCGAGCAACGCCGCGUGAGUGAAGAAGGUUUUCGGAUCGUAAAACUCUGUUGUUAGAGAAGAACAAGGACGUUAGUAACUGAACGUCCCCUGACGGUAUCUAACCAGAAAGCCACGGCUAACUACGUGCCAGCAGCCGCGGUAAUACGUAGGUGGCACGCGUUGUCCGGAGUUCUUGGGCGUAAAGCGAGCGCAGGCGGUGUCUUAAGUCUGAUGUGAAAGCCCCCGGCUCAACCGGGGAGGGACAUUGGAAACGGGGAGACUUUGGUACAGAAGAGGAGAGUUGAAUUCCAUGUGUAGCGGUGAAAUGCGUAGAUAUAUGGAGGAACACCAGUGGCGAAGGCGGCUCUCUGGUCUGUAACUGACGCUGAGGCUCGAAAGCGUGGGGAGCAAACAGG